GCACGGACCAAGGAGUCUAACAUGUGCGCAAGUCAUUGGGUCUUGAAUAGGCCCAAAGGCGUAAUGAAAGUAAAGGCCGGUUCCGCCGGCUGCCUUGGGAUCCCGCGCACCUCGCGUGCGCGGGCGCACCAAGGGCCCGUCCCGAUCGCCUCGUCGACGGGGCGGAGCAAGAGCGUACACGUUGGGACCCGAAAGAUGGUGAACUAUGCCUGGGCAGGACGAAGCCAGAGGAAACUCUGGUGGAGGUCCGCAGCGAUUCUGACGUGCAAAUCGAUCGUCAGACCUGGGUAGGGGCGAAAGACUAAUCGAACCAUCUAGUAGCUGGUUCCCUCCGAAGUUUCCCUCAGGAUAGCUGGCACUCGGAGGAUGCAGUCUCAUCCGGUAAAGCGAAUGAUUAGAGGCCUUGGGGUCGAAAAGACCUCAACCUAUUCUCAAACUUUAAAUGGGUGAGAAGUCCGGUUUGCUCGACUGAAGCCCGGACGGCAACUUGGAUGUGAGUGCCAAGUGGGCCACUUUUGGUAAGCAGAACUGGCGCUGUGGGAUGAACCAAACGCCGGGUUAAGGGGCCCGAUGCAAGACGCUCAUGAGAUCCCAUGAAAGGUGUUGGUUGCUAUAGACAGCAGGACGGUGGCCAUGGAAGUCGGAAUCCGCUAAGGAGUGUGUAACAACUCACCUGCCGAAGCAACUAGCCCUGAAAAUGGAUGGCGCUUCAGCGUCGACCCCAUACCCGGCCGCCGCGGCCGAAAAGCCUUUGUGUUUUAAGCCGCGGUGAGUAGGAGGGGCGCAGAGACGAGCGUCGAAGGUGCCGGGCGUAAGCCCGCCUGGAGCCGUCUCUGGCGCAGAUCUUGGUGGUAGUAGCAAAUACUCAAGUGAGAACCUUGAGGACUGAGGUGGAGAAGGGUUCCAUGUGAACAGCAGUUGAACAUGGGUCAGUCGGUCCUAAGGGAUAGGAGAAAUCCGUUCCGAGGCGGGACCUCUCUAAAGCAAGUCCCGCUUAUGACCGAAAGGGAAUCGGGUUAAUAUUCCCGAACCCGGACACGGAGAUCGUCCCCUUCGGGGGUACAUUGCGGUAACGCAAACGAGCUCGGAGACGUCGACGGGAGUCCCGGGAAGAGUUGUCUUUUCUUUGUAAGGAUUCGACUCCCUGGAAUCGGCUCGCCCGGAGAUAGGGAUGGUGUUUCCGUAAAGCACCGCGCCUCUUGCGGUGUCCGGAGCGCUCCCGUCGGCCCUUGAAAAUCCGAGUAAGAGAUAGUGAUUUUCGUGCCGGACCGUACCCAUAUCCGCAG
RNAcentral lists this ribosomal RNA (1286 nucleotides) under Thrasychirus sp. MCZ IZ 138060. RNAcentral describes it as "partial large subunit ribosomal RNA". It matches the Rfam family "Eukaryotic large subunit ribosomal RNA", at positions 659 to 1859 of the family's 3401-position model. Lineage: Eukaryota; Metazoa; Arthropoda; Arachnida; Opiliones; Neopilionidae. The record is from RNAcentral.